GACGAACGCUGGCGGCGUGCUUAACACAUGCAAGUCGAACGGAAAGGCCCUGCUUUUGUGGGGUGCUCGAGUGGCGAACGGGUGAGUAACACGUGAGUAACCUGCCCUUGACUUUGGGAUAACUUCAGGAAACUGGGGCUAAUACCGGAUAGGAGCUCCUGCUGCAUGGUGGGGGUUGGAAAGUUUCGGCGGUUGGGGAUGGACUCGCGGCUUAUCAGCUUGUUGGUGGGGUAGUGGCUUACCAAGGCUUUGACGGGUAGCCGGCCUGAGAGGGUGACCGGCCACAUUGGGACUGAGAUACGGCCCAGACUCCUACGGGAGGCAGCAGUGGGGAAUAUUGCACAAUGGGCGGAAGCCUGAUGCAGCAACGCCGCGUGCGGGAUGACGGCCUUCGGGGUGUAAACCGCUUUCGCCUGUGACGAAGCGUGGGUGACGGUAAUGGGUAAAGAAGCACCGGCUAACUA
RNAcentral lists this ribosomal RNA (464 nucleotides) under uncultured bacterium. RNAcentral describes it as "partial 16S ribosomal RNA". It matches the Rfam family "Bacterial small subunit ribosomal RNA", at positions 28 to 503 of the family's 1533-position model. The record is from RNAcentral.